UGCCAGAUUUUGUGAGCUUGUUUCAAUCCUUUGUAUGACAUCGGCUCUGUCUUUGUUGGUUUGGUCCCUCUUCACUCUCAGUUUUCCAAAGCCAUGUAUGGGAUUGGGAAGAAUUUAAGAGGAACUCCUCGCCCAAAACAGAAGUCAAAAAUAUAGUUACAUAUCAAUUAAUACAAUACGUAAGGGUUUAUAUUUGCAACCAUGGCGGCUUGUCCUUCCCUUCCCUUUGCAACUUCUACUUCUACCAUCUUGUUUGUGAGGCUUUUUUUUUUCUUUUUUUUUUUUUUUUUUUUUUUCAAAUUUUUGGAUUAAGAGUUUGCAAUCAAUGCCUUGCCAAAUUAGAAACGUUUAUCAUUUGUUGGUGAUAUGUUGUCAUCGUUAUAUGUAAUGUAUAUAUACAUCCUUGUGGCUAGUUUGUUUGAGUGAGUGAUUAUUAGUGUGGUAGUAUUAAGUUGAUUGAUAUUAAAUUUAUGGAAUUACUUAAAAAUCUUUAUUAUAUAGAAGGUGUCUGUUGUUUUGUAAAUUGAGGAACAAAAUAGUUUUUUCACCUCCAAUCUUAUUGGAUUAGAUUUCAAUAUCACCUCUCUUAAGGGAUCAUGAAUUUCCUCUUUCAAGGAGUUUCAUAAUCCCGUCAAACUCUUAAUUCUAUAACAAAUUUUCAAAACAAACAUAGCCUAAGAGUUGUAUGUGGAGUUCUUUGAAUAAAUAAUUCUUCUUCUUCUUCUUGUAUUAUAAAAUGCUUCUUUAUCAUGAAAACCAUUUAUUAAUAAAAUUUAUUGAACAGAGUA
Molecule: non-coding RNA, 788 nt
Organism: Camellia sinensis
Lineage: Eukaryota; Viridiplantae; Streptophyta; Magnoliopsida; Ericales; Theaceae
Source: RefSeq, a predicted model, not a curated record